UCUUGUUUUAAUUUCUUUUAAAUACAUCUUUGUAAUUGACUUUAUGGGGACAUGUAUGUUAAGGCUGUGCAUCUGAUUAAAUUCUGAAAAGUAAAAAAGGAGAUCCUGAUACUGUCCAUACUCUUGCAACUGUUAUCCUAAUCUCUCAAGAACACCUAAGGACACUAAGGCUAUGAAGAAACAGAGAAUGACAACUGAAGUUCCAUUACAAGCUAAGGGGAUUAAUUUGAAGCAUGCUUUAAAACUGACUGGCAAAAGACCUUUCGAAGAGUAGGCAGAGGAAUACUUAUGUUUACCAGCUACAGUGAGGAUGAGGAUGAUACUAAAACAUGUUGUUAGUACUAUCUGAAACUAAACAAAGCACUGUGAUAAAUGAAAGAAAGAACAAGUCAGUACUUUCCUAACUUUUAGUAGACAUCACAAGUAUGUUCAGGCUUUAGCACCUUUAUGUAUUCUACUGAAUUGGUUACGGAUGGAACUUUAAAUAGUAGGUUCCAACUCAUUUACCGUUUGGCUAUAUGGUCUUCUAGAGCAUCUUAUGU
Long non-coding RNA from Neopsephotus bourkii (Bourke's parrot), 542 nucleotides. RefSeq lists it as uncharacterized. Lineage: Eukaryota; Metazoa; Chordata; Aves; Psittaciformes; Psittacidae. The record is from RefSeq and is a predicted model, not a curated record. The transcript has 5 exons.